UACGAAGGGGGCUAGCGUUGUUCGGAAUUACUGGGCGUAAAGCGCAUGUAGGCGGACUCUUAAGUCAGGGGUGAAAUCCCGGGGCUCAACCUCGGAACUGCCUUUGAUACUGUGAGUCUCGAGACCGGAAGAGGUGAGUGGAAUUCCUAGUGUAGAGGUGAAAUUCGUAGAUAUUAGGAAGAACACCAGUGGCGAAGGCGGCUCACUGGUCCGGUUCUGACGCUGAGACGCGAAAGCGUGGGGAGCAAACAGG
RNAcentral lists this ribosomal RNA (253 nucleotides) under uncultured bacterium. RNAcentral describes it as "partial 16S ribosomal RNA". It matches the Rfam family "Bacterial small subunit ribosomal RNA", at positions 524 to 776 of the family's 1533-position model. The record is from RNAcentral.